UACGUAGGUCCCGAGCGUUAUCCGGAUUUAUUGGGCGUAAAGCGAGCGCAGGCGGUUAGAUAAGUCUGAAGGGAAAGGCUGUGGCUUAACCAUAGUAUGCUUUGGAAACUGUUUAACUUGAGUGCAGAAGGGGGGAGUGGAAUUCCAUGUGUAGCGGUGAAAUGCGUAGAUAUAUGGAGGAACACCGGUGGCGAAAGCGGCUCUCUGGUCUGCAACCGACGCUGAGGCUGGAAAGCGUGGGGAGCAAACAUG
This 252-nucleotide ribosomal RNA is filed under the name uncultured bacterium. Its description in RNAcentral is "partial 16S ribosomal RNA". It matches the Rfam family "Bacterial small subunit ribosomal RNA", at positions 524 to 776 of the family's 1533-position model. The record is from RNAcentral.